AAGGUUACUAAAAUAGAUUAUUGACUUAAUAAAAAUAUUUCCCUUAAAAAGAUUUAAGAAGCAGUUAAUCCUCCAAUAUCAAUUAGUAUAUAACAGUUGUGUUUUUAUUUUCAAAAAAAAUGGCUGGAAUUCUAUGGAGUGCAGCACGUUAAAGAUCCAUUGUGGUCACUGCAGCAGCUUGGGUCACUGCUAUGGCAUAUGUAUGGUUCCUGGCCUGGGAACUUCUGCAUGCCACGGGCAUGCCGAAAGAAAAAACAAAAGCACAUGGCACUUUUAAAUUAGGCAGUACUAUUAUUUUUCACAUUUAACAUUAAAAUAAUUUGUUGCUACACAGAUGAUAUGCAAAUAUGGUAGGCAAUAAGUUUUUUGUGAAAACAAUGCCUUUUGAAUAGCCAUAGCAUGUCAACCUAUAACUUUUAAAUUGUCCACAGCUACGGUAUAUAUUUGACUAUGAGUACUGUGCAGAGAGCUGAGCCAGACCUCUGCUCUACCUCUCUGCUAUUUACUGGAUGAGCUUGAACAAGACAUCAACCUUUCUGAUUAAGUCUGCCUAUACCAAUGGUUUUCUGAUUAAUAGAAAUGAAAAUGAGAACGUAUACAGGUGUUCAGAAUCUAGAAAAUGCAGUUGCUUUAUUGCUAUAUCUAUGUACAUAUGAAUAUUUGAUUUGAUUUGAAAUUAGAGCUCAAAGUAUUCACUUAAUUUCUUCCCCUGAAAAAAAUACAGUUUUUCGAGUUUGAGGCCUGCUUUGUCAAAAAUCUAAAGAACCUAUCACAUUUUCAUUAAAAUAUUCAAAAUAAUGGUACUGAUUUUGACUUUUUAAAAAAAUAUAUUUCUAUAUUUUUUAAAAUAUAGAGAACUUGUCUAAAACACAGCUGUUCCAAAAAUAUAUGCUAUAUACUACAUGCUCAGAUUAUUUUUACUGUGGUAAUAAUUCCGCAAAAUGGAACAGUGGGUCUAGAAAUCAUGAUGAAGUCAUCAGCCCCCUAAAUAACAUUCCUAUCUCUAAGGCUAUGAUACAAAAUGCCCAGAAGAAAUCUUCAUGUCUGCCUUAAUCUUGCAUUUCUUUGGAGAGAUAGUUAUUAAAUUUCUAGAGUUUUUGCUGUGAAUACCUGAGCAUUUUCUCUCAUGUACACUUACUUUUUACACACCAGAUUUCAGGAUUGAAUAUGAAACCUUUUAAAUAUCUUUACAAUCUACAAAGCAUUGUGUAUAAACACACAAAACUCAAAAAAAAAAGUUCUUUUUUCGAAUUAAAGAUAUCUCAUUUUUGUAUUCAGGAACUUAACAACCAUGUGUCCAGUGAUAAAGUUAAAUGGACUAGCAGAUAACCCAAGGAAGGGCAUAACUUUCUUUUCCUCAAAGCAUACCUUUUAAAUACCCAUUAGAUAUGGGGAAUUUCCACAUCUCUUAAAUUUUACAGGAAAUACAUAGCCAGAUAAUCUCAUAAAUUUGCCAGGUCCUAAACUGCUUACCCACACUAGACUAAGUCAUGAUUUUAAUGAAGAGAAAAAUCACUUGAUUUCUCUCAAUUCCCUGUAUCUUCCAUACUCAAAGUUUGUUGGAAAAGACAGUCUAUCUCCACCUAGCAUCCAUGACCUAUUAAUGUACCAUAUUCCAUACUCCCUGGUCCUGAUCAAACCCAAAAACUGAAUAAAAAGCAGUAAAAUAAAUGACUACUCACCUCAUAUUAUAGAAUCCAAACCAACCUGGAUUGAUGUACAUCCAUAACAUGAAUCAAAAAUAAGAACUGGGCAUAGAUAAUUGCAUUCAGCUUGGAUCACCUCCCUAUUUAAGCUCAGGAAAAUGCCCUACAGACCACUAGUUACCCAGGGCCAAAAAAACCCAUACCUCUAGAGGAAGGCCUGAAACAGUGGGACCUUAAAAAAUUGAGAAAAAGAAGCCAAGAGUAGUUUUAAUAAUUUGUUCUCCCUGUCAUUAGAGAAGAUCUGAGAAUUGAGGAGAGGGAGACAUUGGUGUUAAAUAACAGUAGUUCAUAGUAACAGUGAUUUAACAGGUACAUUAUCUAAAUAUCCUAUAGCCAAAGCAAAGGGAAACAGGAAGGGAUCUGCUUCUCUUCUUGGAGUUCAUCACAUUCCAAGGCAGCGCUUGGGGCUCAUGCCUGUAGGCUGCGCCCAGGCUGGUUCACAGCCUCAUGCAGCUGUGGAGUUUGGAAAAGUGCUACACGGCUGCUGGAUUAGUCCCAGAAUGUCAGCCUCAUUUUCAAUUUACUGGCUCUUGUUGCUUUAUGUCAUGCUGACCUUACUGUUAAACAUGCGUGUUUGCUUUCUUUCCACUCACAGAGAUGGGGAAAGCAUUACUUUUAGCUGGUUGAAAGCUUUAACUGACAAAGGACUUUUAGAGAAAUGUGAAUUAAGCAGCUGAGAAAGCUUAACCCUGUCCACUGUUUUAAAGAAAAUUAAAUUAUUAACUCCGCCAUGUGACAUCAAUAUCAUGGUCAACAUUUGGAUAUAUAAGAACAAAAUAUUUAAAUGGCAUUGUAAAGAGUUGUUAAGGCAUACACUGUAGCUUCUAUCAUCUUUGAAAACUGCUCUUAAUACAUCAAAUCCUGAUAUAUCCAAUUUACCGAACAUUACUUAUUCUAGAUGAAACCUACUUACAUGAUUUGCUCUUGUCAAAUAUAUAUAAAGUUUAACAUCACAUUUUUCUAUGAAAUUUACCAACUUAUGAGGAGUUUUGUUGUUUUUAUGAUUUAUUUAUAGACAGCAGUGGCUUAUAACUUUUUGCCAUUAAACUUUUACUAACCCCCUCCCUCAGAAAACUUAUGUUUUAAAAUUCACCACCAAACUGUAUUCCUAUUUAGAAAUAGUUGUUUUGUUUUCUUCAUGUUACGCUAUUCAAAAACAUGAAUUAGAGUUUCUGAGCAGCAUAACAGUUAUGUCCAUGCUGAUGUGAUGGGUUUUAUGCAGCUUUAACUGGUAAAUUAAAAAUUGGCUUUUCUUUAAUAAUAUAGUAGCAAAAUAGUCAAUGGAUAGCUAUCAUAGUUUUCUCUAAAGGCUUUAAAAUUCAUGAGAAACACCAAACAUUUUUUUGGAGAGCCAAUGCAAUCAUAUUGUAUUCCUGUCAAAACAGAUAUGCAGCUCUGCUUGUUCUCCAUGGGGUAAAAAUACUACUUAGAAAUGACUUUAAAUGGUAGGUCCUAUAUUUGCUGUAACUGGGAGUAGAAAGAGAUUUCCACAUGGCAGCUUUUUAGAAUUCAUCCCUUUAACCAAGAAAGUAUCUUCUUAUGACCUGAGUAGUACAUGCAUUUUAACUUUUUCUGACAUACGAAUAUUCACAAGAAAAUCAGAGCAAAGAUUUUUCAAAAAAAGCUUUUCAAUGAAAUUGAGGGGGAAAAAAACAGGAAAAAUGUAAAAGCUGUUCAUAUUUUGUAAGGAGUAAAUAUAACUCACAAAAGUGAAAUGGAAAACUCCUCUAAGGAGUAACUUAAAUAUUUUUCCCUUGAUUAUUGAGCAAAUAAUCAUGCUGAUGUUACAAAACAACAUGGGUGAUUAUCUACAAUGAUAACAAUGGUAAAUGUUAGAGAAGAAAAUCACUCACUAUCUAUGCAUAUAAAACAUAAAUAUGCCCAGAAACUUGCUUUUGCUUUUUAAGAAAGGUCUCCAGUUUCUAAGAUUGAUGCUACAUAGUUUAGGAAAAAAAAAAAAAUCAAUCUCUAAGUGUCUGUUUAGCUAUCAAUCAAUUAAGUGUCUUAACACUUUAAAAAGCAGGGAGGAAAGAAGAGAGGGAAGACUGGUGCAGGGGAAGGAGGGAGGGAGAGAAAAGUUUAGAACCAAAUUAUCCAUUUCAACUCUGAAACCACAAACUUUUCGCUAAUAAUUUACAUCAAUGUAAAGUAGCCGACUCUCAAUUAUCUAUGUUAAUAGAAGGGAAAAAAAAGCCCUGAAAUACAAAAAAACAAAAACAACAACAAAAAAAGUGGGGUUUUUGCAAAGUUGAAGUCUUACUUUAGGAGUUAUUUUUUAUUUAUCUUUUUUAGGAGUCUUUUUAUCUUUCAACAACUAGUUAUAAAGCGUUGUUGUAUCAUAUACCUGUUAUUCUGCCAGAUUGUGAAGAUAAGCAGAUUGAGUACCUGCUUUCUCUGAGUUUACAAUUGGAUGGAGACUAGAGACAAAGCAAAUAGUUACAAUAUUGCAUGUUGAAUGUCAUGGUCGAGGAUGUACAGGGAGCCAUGGGAGCACCUCAGAAGGAUACUUAGCUUGAAUUUAGGAGUGGGCAAAGUUUCUUGGAAAAAGGUCUAAACCAUGAUCUAAAAGUGGUUUAGGAAUUAGCUGAGCAUGCAGAAUCAGAAAAUGCCAAAGGAAUGAAGAAUAUUCCAAACAGGAGGUUACAGCAUAUGCACAGACCUGAUUAUGAGAGAGAGUGUGGGGUGGGGGCUGAUGAUGAGGCUGAAGAAGAAGACAAGGUCCAGAUUAUUAAGUGCAUAUCAUGUUAAAUUGUGUAGUCUUGACUUUUUUUAUAAGCAGGACAGCAGCAUAAUUCAGAUUGGUAUAAAAGAAAUUCAGCCUCACUGCAGUAUUGAGAAUAGAAUUGGAGAUGGCUAAUCCUGGAGGUAGAGAGAACAUUUUUUUUAGAAAGUUGCAGUAUUCUGAUGGGAAUGAUAGUCAUAAACAUUAAGAGUUGGAAGUGAUCAUAACCUCCUCCCUUGUUUUCCAGAGGUUUUAAGAAAACAAAACUUGGAAGUAUUAACAGAACUUAUAGAAACAUGAAAUAUGCUGUAUACAUUGUCACACACAAGGUCAGAUGCCUAUUUAUUCUGCUGCUAUAUUGAAAUUUCAAAUUUUUCAUCAAGAAAGACAAUAAGAACUAAGAAACUUAGUUUACCAAGUUCUAGAAUCCUAUCUAUCCAAACAGUCUCUACCCGUCUACCAAUAUGCCCACCUUUCCGUGUCUAUUAAAUUUCAAUAUCCUGGUUUUUACACAAAGGUAAGAAGACUAGAACAGCUUAAGAAUCAGCAAAUGGGAAAUAAAGGGAGACUAAGCUGUAUUCAAUAAUAAAAAAUAAACACAUCCUUUGUGUAGAUCUUUCUUCAGAUGCCAUUAUCCAGUAUAAUUACAAACUGGUACACUCAC
RNAcentral lists this long non-coding RNA (5092 nucleotides) under Sus scrofa (pig). RNAcentral describes it as "lncRNA (ENSSSCG00000061608.1)". Lineage: Eukaryota; Metazoa; Chordata; Mammalia; Artiodactyla; Suidae. The record is from RNAcentral.